This is a long non-coding RNA of Diachasmimorpha longicaudata, 5800 nucleotides long. RefSeq lists it as uncharacterized. The transcript has 4 exons. Lineage: Eukaryota; Metazoa; Arthropoda; Insecta; Hymenoptera; Braconidae. The record is from RefSeq and is a predicted model, not a curated record.
UUCUGAAAAAUAGGAAAGUGGAAAUGGAAAAUAUUGUUAAAUGGAUUUUUUAAUUUUUUUUAUGGGGAAUUAUUUGAAACGAAUGGAGUCUACUGGAUUUUUUUAUUUACGUGAAUAAAAUUAUGUUUUCCGUGCUAUAAUUAUAUUUCUAAUUUAUAGUGAUAUUUUUGGGUGUAACAUAAGAGAGAAAAAAAAAUGUUUUUGAUGGGGACAAACAUUCAUUUUUUAGGAAGCAAUUAAUUAUUUUCUAAGUGUAAUUUACAGGGGCUUACGAACAGAAAAUACAUCAUAAUUUUGUUAAAUAAAUUAAUGUUGAAAAUGUUCACUUUUAAAUCGUUUAAAACUAGCAACUGGCUUUUUAAACGUCUGAAUGGGAGAUUUUUAUCAAUUUUUAUCAGCACAGUUUGUGCUUGUCAUGAGUCACCCGAAUGUCACAUCAAUCCAGCAAUCGGUUUCAGUUUCACAAAAUAGUCUGAGAGGGAUAACACUAUAUUGUUUAUUAGCGCAAAUAAAAUUCUCGCGAUGAUCCCCCCAAUGUCCCGUAUCAAAACCAUAUUAUUUGGUGAACGAAUCGUCAAGUGAGUUUCAAUUUUGAAAAAUUCAUAAUUAAAAAUGAAAAAAUUUAUCAAGUGCAUUUGUAAACGUCUGAAUACCCGAUUGUUAUCAAUUGUUAUCAGCACUAUCCGGAUUCUUCGUAAAUCGUACGCACAUCGCAUUCAAUUCUUAUUGAAUUUCACUUUUCAAGAAACAUUUGAGAGUCCACUCAACAAUUUUGUUUUCUACGAAUGAAAUUCUCAGUGAUGAGACCAGCGAUGAUUCAAACGGCACGCACGCACCUUUUCUACUGCCACUCACACAUUCAACACACGUACACAGAUCACCCAGGCACACUCUGUUGGUGCCAGGUCGACGACGUCCUCGUGGACACGCAACCGUAAUUACCCGACAAAAGUUGUACCACGUCGUGAAGAAAAGAUCUUAAAUCCAAAGGGAUUAGCCACGAUAUGGGUAAGACGACGUGCCGAGGGACCAAGGCACCGCACACUGCCGCAUACCAGGCGGUAGACGAGACAAUCCCUCCACUCCAACCCCCUGUCAGACGGAUAGUCAGACUUGUGGAACAGUUGCAAUUGGUUUUGUGAAUGUCUAAAAACUCACUCCGCCGUGUGGUGACGACGCCCUGCGUCGCGACGCUCGCAGCGCCUUCUAAUGGCGCCUUUUUUCGCCGACAAACGAUGGCGAGAGGAUUUUUCAGAGGUUGUCGUCGUGUCUCACCUGAUAGUAAUUGAUUAGUGCCAGGCCAAUUGUCCAUCAACAGGUUCCCCGCAGACUGAAUAUGAUUAGCAAUGAGUAUCAUGCAAUCCGACACACGCUGCAGAUAAACUCAUUGUUAAUGUCAUGAAUUGUUAAAGUCCAUUGAACUUGUCGGUUCAUCUACUCGUAACCGGUUCUCGCCGCUUCGAAUUCAUCGUUGAAGGACAAGUGAAGACGGCACUGACCGCAACUCCAGUAAAAUUCACUGGUCAUUAGACACGAGGGACUUGAUGAUCGUGUCAUAAUUAAUGGCGAAGGAUUGAUUUCACUUGGCAUUGGGUAUCAUCGAUCCGGUGAAUUAUUUAUUCGGGAAAUGUCGCACCAGGAAUUUUCCCUACGACGACGGAAGUUAUUUUUCAUAAAUUUUAAUUUUAAUGGUAAUCAAUUUGACGGUUCAAUUAAAACAUGAAUUUCCGAUGAAUUUAAUGAUUGAGGAACAUUUGGCUGACUUUCCCUGAUUUCUGUGAAUUUUCCCGGAAGUAUUUACCUAGAAUUUAUUAAUUUAUUAAUUUAAUUGUUUCGUUUUCCUGGAAUCCAGAUCUUUUUACAUUUUAAACGACAAAAUUUCCAGAUAUUUUGAAAAUAUUCAAGUGCGCGAAAAAAAUACAACAAAAAUUACAUUUCAAUUCUCCCAUUAAUUAAUAAUUAUACAAUUUCCAUAACCAAGGUUAUCAACAAUUAAUACAUCUUUUUGUUUACAAUAAUGCAAUUUGACGGUAGAAUUUGCUCGACAGAAUUUCAUAGCCAAAAAAAUCCCACCAAGAAAUAAUUUUUUUGUUAUUAAAUAUUACGUGUAAUAUUGUUUGGUGAAUUCAAUGGGGGCUGGGGAAUGUUUAGGUCAAUUUGUGUAAUAGUCGAAGAUGUUGAAAUAUGUAUAAUGCAGGUACCAAGCUCCAUUAAAUUUCCUACCCCAUGGGAAUCCAUGGAAGGCUCAUGAAUGAUUACGCUCCUUCGUUCCAGUACCCCAGAGUCAGUGUUACCCAACUAGCUAUUCUUCCGGUUCUGGGGAGUCAUAAAAUGUUGGGGAAUCGAUCGUGGCCUCACAUGGAACACUAGCCAUCACUUCGUUGUGUGUAAAUGACUGACAAAUCGGCAUUAUUUGUCUCCACGUCCGCGGAUUCUUCAUCACUGUCCUGUUCUAGCUCAUUCCAGUCCCUUUUUUAUAUAUAUUUUUUUGCACUUCCGGUUUGACAUUCUGGCAGUCGUACAGUUUAUUCGGUUGGAAAGAACAGAAAAUGAGUAGCGAUUUUUGGGACUGGGGUAGCGAACGCAAUUUAGAGGGUGAAAAAUUAGGAAAUUUUAAGUUUCACUGGAAAUUCCGGAAAAUCGCGAAAUUUUAAGGCACGUAGUCAAGAGAAUUCUACAAUUUAGUUGAUUUUCAGUGUCAAUGGAUGUGGAGAGAAAAAUUCAAUGAAAAUCGUUAAAAAAACAUUUUUAUUCCAAUUUUAUUGAAAAUUCUAGCAUUUUUGAUUUUUUUUUUCCUUGAAAUUUCGGAAAAUUCGGGGAUUUUGAGCAAAAUGAGCACAAGAAGCGCUCAAUUUAUUUUUUAAUCCGUUUUUCCAAUUUAAAUAUUCAAUGUCAACUCCAACAAAGACAAUUAUUGAAUAAAAAUAUCCAGAAAAAAAUUAUUCUCUUCUCCAGUAACAAUUCCAGUCAGAUUUCCAUUUUACCCCAACGAAAAAUCUGUUCUCUUCCGACUUUUCAGCAACAAAAUAUCAAAACAGUUCAAAAGCUUCUUAAAAAUUGUUAAACCUUCCAAAAUUUUCCCUUCUGCCGAUACAAUAAAUUAGAAAUUUCCGGUAGAGAUAAAUUCCAUAAAAAUCACUGGAAAAUUAUUUCUCCAUCCGGAUGACGAACCCAAUUCUCUGCCAAUAGUUAUCUCCGUCCAGCACCCUCCAAUAAAAAAUAAACCAAAGCUUCCGUUCAGAAGUAAAAACCGAAAUUUUAAAAGACAAAUCGUCUCAGGAAACGUUGACAAUUAUUUUCUAGUAAAAAAAUAUUUCCCUCCGGGUAGGGGGAUAGCUCAUCAUCUAUUUUGAACGGGUACAUCAUAUUGCUCCCCGACGACAUCCGAACAAUUUUCCUCUGUCGCUCAUUAAUUCCUCGUGAUGACAUUGAAAUCUAUCACAGACACUGUUAAUUCUACAGAUCACCGUCGCUAUAAUUAACUCUGCUGUCACUUCGCGGUUUAUUGUUCCAAACAUUCGAAGACGAAAUACGUAACUACCUUUUGCUAAAUCGAUUCUCCUUCUGUUUUCACCCUUAUCGAUCCCGGGUCAGAGUCAAAAGACACGUAGACGCCGUUCUCCCGGGGUCAGACUUCACCCGCUACUUUCCGUGGUGCAUAGCACAUGCAUUAACAGGUCGUAACGAAUUUUUUAAAGUCCAACAUGUGCAGCUGUGCCUUCUACACUCUUUGACAUUUCCUUAUAUUUGAGUGACCGAUGUACACAAAGGAAAAAAAAUCUAGCACUCAGUAAACAUUUUUUUACGAUAAAAUCGAUUUCAUACGAAUUUCCAUUUCAGUCUCGGAUUUAGUGAAAAGAUUUUUUUUUUGCCAAAUCCGAAGUAAUUGAAAAUAUAUUUACUUCAUGCUAGAGUUUCUUUUCUUACUGUUAAUGAGAAAAUAGAAAUAAACAGGAAAAAUUUAGGAAAAAUUGCGAAAAAUGCAGGGAAAGUUUAAUAAAAAAUCAGAAAAGGAAAACAAAAAUUUCCAAACGCUCUGAAAUAAUUCCCCGACAAUUUCGUAAAAUUUUCUAUGCGGAGAGAAAUAUUCAGUAAAAAUUACGUAACUUUACCGUUACUCCGAAGCAAAAAAUGGGCGAAGAAAAUUUUUCGGAAUUUUUCCGAAGCGUUUCGUCAUUUUUAUCUGAAUUUUCCGGAAUUUCCCUGAAUUUGAUUCUCCUAGAAACAAAUCCUCUAAAAAAUUGUAAACUAAUUAAUGUGAUAAUUAUCACGAUUUCUCUUAAAUUUCCCCAGAAAUCCGGAAAAAUACACAUUUCCCCUUCUAAAAUUUCCAGUACCAGCACUUGAAUUUGCCAAAAAAUUUUUUUCUCGUCCAUUUCACAUCAGAAUUACAAAAAAAACAAAAUAAUCAUUAAUGAAUCGAACUUUAAUUUCUGGUGAUUUUUAAUGCAUCAAAGAUUUGGAUUUUUACUAUGAAAAAACGACUUCUUUUAAAAAUAAAAAAAUAAAGUUGUACAUCAGGAUCAAAUAAAUUAUGCAAUCCUCUGAUAGAUCGAAUAUAUUUUCAUUCUACGAUUAGUAUUUAUAAUUUUAGAAUUAAGCAGUCGUCCGCGUGCUUCGGCAAGACGAGUUAAAAUAAACUUUCAUUCAUUUGGAUGCUCUCACAGCGACGCUGUUACAAUCAGGGGAUUUAAUUAAAUGGGGUCUGUAGAUGGCUGGAAACGACCUAGAUAUCGAUCCGCAUGACCUUAUGGAAUUCGAGGAAUUAAAUUUCCUGAUGUGGGAUUUAUAUUUAACGAGGGAUACCCUUCGAUAGUGAAGUCAUCACUGAUAAUUCAAUUUCAUGUCCGAAGGCGAUUGGAUAAGACCAAAGAAGCAUUUUUCCUAAUUAAAAUAUUCCGUGGGAGAGAUUUUUUUAUAACAAAACAUGUCAUAAGGACAUUUUACAGCUGAAAGAAAAUCCAGCAAAAAAUAUUCAAUAAUUAUUCCUCCUAUGCGAGCAUUUCUUAAAAAAUAAUUUAAGAAUUGAAAAAAUUAAAAGGAUAAAUCUUCUGUUCUGCCAGUUUUAUUCAAAUUUUGAUCUCAAAUCACUAAUGAUUAAUUGAAUAAAUAAUUCUUUGGGGAUUGACAAUUGAUCUACUAGUUGAGUAACUUUUUGUUGCACAAUUGGGAUAAGAAUUUUUAAUUCAGGAGAAAAAAUCAGGUCCAAUGGAUUCGCAUUGUUUUUUACGUUUUUGAAUUCCAGAAGAAUUAUUAGGGAAAAUUGUCAGAGUGCGAGGUAUCAUUAUCGUGGAAUUCGUGUUUUUUUCUUGUUUCAACUAUAUUAUCGUUUCUACGAAGUUAUACCGACAUCCUUUGACUUUAACCAGCAAUUUCCUCUGAUAAAGCGUAAAUGCUCGCUAUUUCUGACGUGAGACGAUAACAUUCUUCAUGAAAAAAAUGUCUAGAGAUGAAUCUUCUGUUGUGUACUCUGUAUAUUUUAAAGGAAAUCUUAUUUGUUUAUUGAAUCGGCUCAAAAGUCAAAAUUCUCCGCCUUUCACUACAAUUUACCGAUACAAAGGGCUUUAAACAGAUUAAAUAAAUAUGCAAAUAAAUUUAAACAAUGUCGACUCCAGAUUUAGAACGUUAAUAUGAAAAGAAAAAUUUGAUGUACUGUAAAUAAAAAUAUUGACUGUGUUAGUAAUCCAAAACUGUGGCUUACAUCACUUUAAAAUAAUUUUAACAAAGGAAUAAACAUUUUUAAAAUGUUUUUUAUUUUAUUAUUAUUUAUUUCCUUGAUGUUACAAAAGUUUUCUUUGUU